Molecule: long non-coding RNA, 4269 nt
Organism: Mustela lutreola (European mink)
Lineage: Eukaryota; Metazoa; Chordata; Mammalia; Carnivora; Mustelidae
Exons: 3
Source: RefSeq, a predicted model, not a curated record
CGCGCGCUCGGCCACGCCCCCUCCGUCCUCCGGUUGGAAACGAGGGCGGGACGCUGGUUCAGGUACCCGAGCCGCGGAGAAUGGAGUUUCAGGUUUUGUUUUUGUUUGCUUUUCAGCCGCCACUACGGGUGUAGUUGAGUCUUGCACGAAAAAGACUGACUGUGUUUAUGCAGACAUUCCUAAAACCGAUGCCCUACCUGGAGGGGAAAUAGGUCUUUUCCUUUGAGUUGAAUGACGGAGGCAUUUCCCCGCUUACCUUGAGGGAAGUUCAGUACCUGUGAGACGAGGACGAGUAUUUCCCAGUCGGAGUGUGUGGUUUGGUUUGGUUUGGUUUGGUGGUGGUUUGCGGUGGUCACGCCUGUAAACCGAAUUUCUGGGAGCCUCCGUGUGGGCCUUCUCAGGGGCCAGCCGGCCGUGCUGGCAUCCUCGGGGACGUGCUUGGAAAGACGGGUUCUCGGGAGUCGCUCGGGCCUUCUGGAUCAGAAGGUGCCGGAGGGUCCCAGAAAUCCGUAUCUUCCCAGACCCCAAGUGAGCCUGAGGUUUGCGCCAGUUAGAAAACCGCAGCUCUAAUGAAUUAGAUCAGUCGGGAGAAAAUGUUGUCCUUCCGUGUUGCUCCCUCGUGGGUGAUCAGUAGAAGAAAAUGCUGAAAAGUGAUAAUGCUGAUAACUAAGUUUGGGAAAGACCUAUUUCUGUUUCCUUACGGAAGUGUUACCAGAAUUCAUAGAUAUGUAUAUAUUUAUAAUUUCAGGACUUUGGAGCCCAAAGACUUCGAGAAGAAGACACCUAUUCACCACACUCUUGCCUAGAAGACAACCAGAAAUAUUUGCCCAGGUACACAGACACCUGCGGAAACCAGUACAGAACCCUCACCACUUAGCUUUUGCUAACAGCAUGCCUUGCCACUGAGUUUUCCUGAAGACUGUCCCAUUCAACCUGCCUCACUCCAUAGGCCUCCCUCCAGAGUGAUUCCUCAUUGUGCCUCAACGGGGGUCAGCACCACUCCAGAGGUACUCUUGCCCUGGGGAGAGCAGAAGAUAACCGCACACACAGCAGUUCAAUGGCAGCCCCGACUGCCUGCCCCACCCACCAACAGAAACCCUCCGGGGGUGGGGGGGGCGGGGGUCAGCACAAAGAGAACCCAGUCAUUCAGGGUCACUGCAACCACCACAGAAGACUGGGGACAGACAUCUUCUCUUACUCCUGACCUUGCCCACCAAUGAAAGCCCCUUGGGGACAACAGAGGGAGAGAACUCUAUAGUUUGGUGCAACCAUGGUUCCAGCAAGUGGGCUGAAGGCAAAUAUUGGGUCUGACCUAAUUCAAGCCCAGAGUGGCCCCAGACUGGCACCUUAACAGCACAGGGACCAAACCCUGAUGACAACAGGCAAAGAGGGCCAGGGAAGCCAACUAGACUAAAGGCAAAUGUGGCUCAACGACAGUAGUAGGGUACAUGCAACACACACAGGAGAUCCCCCUGAAGCACCAGGGUCUCCGGAGGAGGAACACUGCCCUAUAGGGCAUUUCAGGAUCACUUCAUAAGGCCUCUCAUUUCAAGAUCAGGAGACCUAGCUGAUUUGAAUACACAGAAGCAGAAUUAGGAAUUAUGCCCCAAAUGAAACAACAGGACCAAGAAGAGAAUGUAAUUGUCAUAAAGAUACUCACUAGACUUAAGAUUGAAAGAUCCCCACGUGGCCUUCAGCAAAGAAAGAAAAUAUAAAAAAGAACCAAUUAGAGAUGAAGAGUUCUGAAAUUAAAAAUAUGCUCAAGUCAAUAAAUAGUAGGCCAGAGGAAGCAGUAAAACAGAUAGGAAGCUAGAUGAUGGUAAUAGAGCAACCAAGCUGGACGGGACCAAAAAAAAUGGUAAGAGAACUCAGCAACACCAUUAGGUGUAAUAGCAGUCACAUUCUAGGGAUCCCAGAAGGAGAAGAGAGACAAAAAGCAGAAAUUCUGAUUAAGUAUCUGAAAACUUUCCUACUCUGGGGAAGGAAACAAAUCUAGGUCCAGAAGGCACAGAGAGCCACCCAAAAAAAAAAAAAAAAAAAAAAAAAUCAACCUAAGGAAGUCCACACCAAGACACAAAAAAUGGCAAAAAGUAGUGAGAAUUUUUAAAGCAGCCAGAGGAAAAAACAAUUAUAUACGUACAAGGGAAACUCCAUAAAGCUGUCAGCAGAUUUUUCAGCAGAAACUUUGCAGGCCAGUGGCGAGGGGGUUGAUAUGUUCAAAGUGCUAAAGAAAAAAACCCUGCAGUUAGGAAUACUUUAUCCAGCACGACUGUCAUUCAGAAUACAAGGAGAGAGAAAGUUUUUCAGACAAAAGCAAAAGGAAUGCGUGACCACUAAACCAGGCCAACAAGAAAUACUAGGGGGAAUUCUUUGAGUGGAAAAGAAAAGGCCAUGAUCAGGUAUAAGAAAAUUAGAGAAGAAAAAAAUGUAAAUAUAACAUGUUUACAUGCUCAGGCACCUGUAAACAUAAAGUAGAUUAACCAGUACAGGGAUUAAAGCACAAAGCAGUAAGAUCAGUUAGAUCUAGAAAAAGAUCAGUAAAGGGAUUCACAAAAGAAUAUAUGGUAUGAUGUCAUAUACAUAAAUGUGUGGGGGUGGGAAGAGUAAAAGUUAUAUUGUCCAUGCUACGCAUAGCAAUCUACAGAUAUAAUGCAAUCCCUAGCAAAAUACCAACAGUAUUUAUCACAGAACUAGAACAAACAAUCCUAAAAUUUUAGGGACCACAGAAGACCCUGAAUUGCCAAAUCAAUCUUGAAAAACAAAACUGAAGCUAUCCCAAGUCCAGAUUUUAAGAUAGACUAUAAAACUGUAGUAAUCAAAAUAGUAUGGUACUAACACAAAAAUAGACCUAUAAAUAACAGAAAAGAGAGCCCAGAAAGAAACCUACAAUUACAUGGUCAAUUAAUCUACAACAAAGGAGGUAAGAAUAUACCAGGGGAAAAAGCCUCUUAAACAAAUGGUCCUGGGAAAUCUGGACAGCUACAUGCAAAGGAAUGAAACUGGAUCAUUUUCUUAUACCACACACACACACAUCUCAAAAGGGACUGAGGACCUCAAUGUGAGAUCUGAAACUAUACAACAAAGGAAGCCAGAGUAUGCAGUGCGACAGUUCUCUUCAAAAAAUGUUGGGAAAACUGGAAAACUAGACCACUUUCUUCCACCAUACACAAAAACUCAAAAUGGAUUAGGGUUCUAAACGUGAGACCUAAAACAUAAAAAUCCUGGGAGAGUGCACAGGCAGUAGUUUCUCUGCCAUCACCCAUAAUAUUUUUCUAGGUAUCUCCUGAGGCAAGGGAAACAAAAGCAAAAAUAAUCUAUUAGAACUACAUCUAAAUAAAAAGCUUUGGUGCAGUGAAGGAAAUAAACAAAACUAAAAGGCAACCUGCUGAACGGGAGGGGAGAUUUGCAAAUGACAUAUCCAACAUAUAAAGAGUUGAUGCAACUCAACACCCAAACAAUAAUUAAUUAAAACCAAUUAAAAAAGUGGUCAGACAUGAACAGAUAUUUCUCCACAAGGCAUACAGGUGGCCCAAAGACCUGAAAAGAUCAACAUUACUCAUCAGUGAAAUGCAAUUAGAGGUACAAUAAACUGUCACUUCCCACCUGCCAGAAUGGCUAAAGUCAACACCACAAGAAACAACAAGUAUUGGCAAGGAUGUAGAGAAAAAGGAACCCUCGUGCACUGUUGGUGGGAAUGCAAGCUGGCGCAGCCACUCUGGAACACAGUAUGGGGGUGCCUCAAAAAGUUAAAAAUAGAGUACCCUAAGAUCCAGUAAUCACACUGCUGGGUAUUUACCCACAUAAACUGAAACAGUAAAUCAAGAAGAUGCAAGCAUCCCUAGGUUUAUUGCAGCAUUAUUUACGUUAGCCAAGAUACAGAGCCAGUCCAUGUAUCUUUCCAUAGAUGAUAAAUACAUGGUAUAAAUACGGAAGGGAGUAUUACUCUGCCAUAAAAAAGAAAAUUUGUCAUUUGCAACAUAGAAUUCUAUCUUCUAAAUCCAUCUGAGUGAAAUAAGUCAAAGACCUAUCAUAGGAUUUCAUUCAUAUAUGGAAUUUCAGAAAUGAGAAACCAAAAAACAUACUCUUAACUAUAGAGAACUGAUGGUUAUCACAGGGGAGGUGGUUCGGGGUACAGGUGAAACAGGUGAUGGGGAUGAAGAAUACACUUAGCACUGAGUAAUGUAUAGAAUUUUUGAAUCAUUAUAUUGUACCCUUGGAAUCUGUUACAUUUGGAUUAAAUAUGAAUUAAAGAUAAUUUUUUUUAAUUGA